ACUGGAAAUACCCCUGACAGUGCUAGGCUCGGUGAUGACCAGGGAUCAGAUGAUUCCUACCGGUUGCCGUUUGCCCAGAUGCCGCUGCCCCUUAGAAGUGUCCAUACUACUGCUUCUAGAGCCUCCAGUAAAGGAUCCUGGAGGGAGUGGCCUGUCCUAGCUAUAGAGAGGGCGUUAUUUUUAUCUUUUUAUCUUUUUUUUUUUUAAAGAAUCACGUUUUAUGUAUGUCGGAAUGGUUCUCCAGAGAGAAAGUGAACACACUAAGCGAACUAGAAAGCUGGAAACAACUGAAAUAGAGGCAGUGUCUGUUGAAAGCGAGUUUGUGGAAGCGUCACCUGAUGAACUCCUCCUGAUCACCUCUAUGAAUCCCUCCAGCUAAUCAGAACUGACUUCAUCGACAGAUUAUAUGGUUAAUUACAGUAGUGCUUUACCUGAAUGCCCCAAGAUAUUGAUGUAGUCAACAACCGCGUCAAGCCUCAGAACACUAGAAACCUUGGAUAAACCUGGGAGACAGCUUGUCAAUAUCUAAGAGCUCAAGGAAACCUAAGAAGAGGCAAAAAGAGUGUAAGAGUCAGAGAGGAUAGAGGACACCAGGAGAACAAGCUGCUCUGAAUCAGCUGAUCAAGGUCCUUUCCACCUCUCCUCACAUCCAGAUUCACUUCCUUUCUGUGUCUCUUUAGGAAACAGUCAGACUACAGUCGAGGAGGCAGGUACAUGGAUCAUUGCAGAGGAGGCUGUGGAAAGAGUGUAAGCCAGAGAUGCUGGAUGACUACUCGGGACACAACAGGGUACCUACCAGUUGGAAUGACAAUGACUUGGAUAGCAUCCGCAAGCUCACACUGGACAAAGUUCAACUAAGGAACAUAGAGAGAACUCCCAAAUGCUCAAUCAAGCCAGAAUUCAUUUAUACUUCCUCCUUUCUGAGUCUAAAAUGAAACUGCAGCUCAGUUAUCACAUAUUUGUCAAGAUGUAAGAAGAGAUUCCUUUCCUUGGAUUCUAUUUAGAGGGAACUACAUCAAAGACAGAAAGGGAACUGUUGAAAACAAUUUUAGUGGGUGCCUGAGUAGAACAGAAUAUGGUGGAGCAGCCCUGAAGUUGGAGUUAUAGGCAGUUGUAAGGCACCCAAUUCGGUCCUGGGAAAUAGACUUCAGGCCCCUGAAGGAGUAGCAAAUGUUCUCAACCACGGAGUCAUCUAUCUGCUCUCCACUGUGCAUCUAAGAGUAACCACACUCAAGUCCCAGUGUCCUCUCAAGUGAAGAUACUCUAUGAACCUAGCAGUUAAGUAUGGGAGAAUCAUGGGGUCAUAUUAUCUACACAAAUUAUUUAUAAUGAUUUGAUUUUCAGAGUGUAAAAUCAAAAUACAAAUUUUAAGAAUAAUAAAUGGUACAGAAUUGAUUAUAUUUCUUCUUGAAAAUUUUUAUAACAUUUAUUAACGAUAGAUACAAUUAAUACCAACAACAAUACAGAAAUAUGUACAUUUCUAUACACCUUAAAAAUAUUAUCACAGUUCUAUUUAGGGAAAAUAGGCAUUGAAGAAGUAUCUCAUUUGAAGUGAAUCUUAAUUAGAAUGUCAUGAUAAAUCCUCAAAAUUUACUACUGUAGUUACAACUGAGAUAGCAAGACCACAUUUCAUACAGUUCAAAAUAACUUCCCAGAGCCCACCUGCACUGCACCUGUGAAACCAGCUGGGGUGUGUUUGUUCUCUAGAUUUAUGGCCAGACUUCCUAGUCAAUGCAUCAUUAAUUUCAGAUUUUAUAAUGUCAUUCUCUUAGGUUCUCCACCCCAUUGCUUUGGAAUUGAUGGAGAAUAAUCGAGCAAAAUUAUCAGUGCUAUCCAAGGAUGUUGAAAACAGGAAGGAUUGUUUAAUGUAACACAUAAACAGAAAAAAAAUCUAGAAAUCUUACUGAAAUGGAAAGGCAGAGAAAUGAUUGAUAUUUCACUUCAUAAAUGAGUGUGUUUGUCAAUCCCUCCAUAAUUCCUGUUAGGUGGAAUAUUUACUGAUGGAAGUGUAUUAACCUGGUUAUCAAACCUCCAGGAAAAUUAGCAAAAAUUCUCCUCUUGCAUUUGAUGCUAUGAAAACUCAUAAAUAGUAAUAAACAUAUGUGAUCAUUUUUCGAUUACUAAAUAAACUCUAGGGUAUGAAAUAUAUCUAUUGCUUGGUGUGUGUGUGUGUGGGUGGUCAUGCCAAGGUAGGCAUGUACAGGUGAAAGGGCAACUUUUAAGCACUGACUCUCUCUUUCUACUGUGUGGGUUCCUAAGAUGGAGCCCAGUUCUUGAGACCUGCGAUAAGUGCCUUUAUCAAGCGAGUCUUCUUACGGCCCUAGGUUCUAUUUUGUUGCAGAUGCAGUUAUUUCUGUACUAGUAAUGCAAGCCUUCGGUUGUUAGGGGUGUUUUGGUACCUGUUCUCCCUUUGAAAUACUUAUUGGCUUCUAAAUUCUCCCACAUUUAAAAAAAUCACAAUUAUUGCUAUAAUUAUAGAAAAAUAUCCUCAUACUUUUUACUCUUUACACAAUACAUUUUAUAUAUGAAAUAUACUUUUUCUGAAUACUGAGAGUUUUUCAUUCACAUUACAACAUUUUGAUAAAUUCCCACCAUUUUUCAGCUCUCUCUAGGUUCAAAAAAUGAUAUGGAUGCCUGUUGGCCUUGUUCAGAGAGGCUUUAUUUGUGUUCAAAUAGGAAAGAACAAUGAUUUGUGAAGGUAAACUCCUUACUCUAAGCAAGUCCCGACCGAGUCCCCAGAGUGCUGCUACAUUGAGAAAGAAGUUCCUGGUUGUCCAAGCAGUGUUGGGCAUGGGCUCCGUCAUGUGGCGUGGGCCUCCUUUCAGACGGAUCAUUGCACGGCCACUGUCAUAAGUUCUGUGCCUGCGUUGCCCCAGCAUCUCUCUCAAGAAAGGAAGAUAAUAAUAGGUCGAAGGUUUUGUUGCUGGGUUGGUGUCCUACUCCAAACCACUGGAAGUUACCCGAUUACAGAAGAUGGUUGGUACAUGCUCCAUAUCCUCCAUUACUAGGACUCUAGCUAGGGUCAGUCACCCUUGUCGAAUUCUGGGUAUUUCUACUGCACUAGGUUUCCACAUUGUCCUUACCCCAAAUAUAACCCAGUUUUAUUCAUCUCUCCACGAACUUUCUCCCUCUACCCCCACCCGACCUGGUCCCUCUUACCCAUCCACGAUUGCCCCCAGUACACCCACAAAAUCUAUUUCUCCUUCCCAGGUAACUCCAUGCAUCCCCCUACCCCUUGAGGCCUCCUUGUUACAAAGCCUUUCUGGGUCUAGGUUGCCUCACUCAGGAUAGUUUUUUCUAGUUCCAGCUAUUUGACUGCUAAUUUCAUGGUAUCUUUUUAUUAACAGCUCAGUAAUAUUACUUACUUUUGAUAAUGUUUAUACCUUCACUAACAAUUUCAUUUCUUUAAUAAAUUAUCCCUUUGAUUUCAUUUAUUUUUUACUUGUUGAACACAGAUAAUUCUUAAAGUGCUUACACACCGCCGCACACUUAUGGAGGGACAGAAAUUUGAAUGUAUUUAUAUAUAUAUUUUUUCUCAUUGUAUAGUUAUUUCUUUUGUUCCUUCAAAAAUGUUGCUUUCGCUGGGCGGUGGUGGCGCACGCCUUUAAUCCCAGCACUCGGGAGGCAGAGCCAGGCGGAUCUCUGUGAGUUCGAGGCCAGCCUGGGCUACCAAGUGAGUUCCAGGAAAGGCGCAAAGCUACACAGAGAAACCCUGUCUCGAAAAACCAAAAAAAAAAAAAAAAAAAAAAAAAAAAAAAAAAAAAAAUGUUGCUUUCAAACACUGCUUUAUAGAGUGUGGAGAGGAACUCACUGAUUGAAAAUAAAUCUCUAGUUAUAUAGAUUGACUAAACUGAAAAAAAAAGAUUAAUAUAAACUAGCUAAGCAAAAAGGAUGUAGUAAGUGUAUUACCUGAGUUUUACUUAGUUCAGAAGAAAGGAGGUAACAUGUAGCAGAGAUUUUUCCAAAACAUCCUGAAGAUACAUGUUCACAGAUUCAAAAACUUCAAUGAUUCCUAUGAAGAAUAAAUUUUCAAAUGAAAAAAGAUGAUUAGGAACAUAAAGAAAUGUAGACAACCAAAACUCAAAAAAAACAAACAUUUCAAUGAAUGUCACAAACUAUUCAAAGGAAUUUUAUAAACCUUUCAAAAACAAUGAUAGUCUGAGACAGAUCAAUGUCAUCAGUGUGCUGAAAAAAAUCAAGAGAUAAAUUUAAAAUCUGUAUGCAACAAAAAAUUCUUCAUAAUUUUAAGAUGAUAUUUAGUCAAAUGAAAAAAUUUUAAAAAUUAUUUAAAAGUAAAGGUAAGAAGGCACUUCUAGGAGAAGAAAAGGAUAUGUAUAAUGAAAUAUAAACAAGAAGUAAUGAGAAAAAAGAGGCAGAAAAUGGUGAUGGAAAGAAUAUAUUACCUUAUAAACAUAGGAAUAAGAAACUAUCAUUUCAUUAUAAUAAACAGUAACACAACACAAUUUACAACCAUGAGUUAAGAGAGACACUGUGGGAAACAAAUUGUACCAAUACUGGCCAUUAACAAGAAAAUAAAAACAUUCAUAAUUUAAAUUUUAUUGUGCUUUAUUCAAUAAUAUUUUAAGUUGGUAAAAAUACUUUAUAACCUUUUGAACUAAUUUAAUGAUGUAGAAAGCAAAUUACAAAAUUAGAUUUGUCUGAAAAAUAUUAAUAAAUUUUUUAAAAUAAAGGAAUAUAAUUUCCAGCUGGUAUUGACUCAUAGAGAUUUUUAAAAAAUCACAAUAGCAAAUGAUGAGUGGGUCAAAGAAGAAAACAACAACAAAAUAACCGAGAAGUAGAUGAAUAUAAAAACACAACACAUCAAACAUUCUGGGACACAUUAAGAACAGCCCAGCAGGAAAUAUUGAUAUCUCCAAACAUUUCCAUUGGGGGAAAAAAAAAAAAAAAAAAGAAAGUAAAAAUUGCACAAAUAAACUACUUAAUGAUAUAAAUACAGUUUCUGUUGCAAUGGUUUCGUUUUCAUUUCUGCCCCCUUGUGUAAUUUCCUUAUUUAUUUUGGUUUUGUGGACUAAGAUUCUGUAGCUCUGUUUAUCCUCUCAAAGAACCACCUCUUAGAGCUGUUAAUUCUUUGACUUGUUUUCAUUUUCUACUGGAUUGAUGUCUGCUCUUCCCAUAUUAUUCCUUCCCAUUUAGUGGAUUUUGGUUCCAUUUGUUCUUGUUUAUCCAACUAUUAAUUUGAUCAUAUAACUGUACAAGUUAUGAAAGAACAUUUCACAAAUAUUACUAUUAAUGGGAAAAAUCAAUUUUAAAAUUAAAUUUUAAAUGGAAAAUUGAGAGUAAACAGAAGCAUAUAAAGUUUCGGCAAUAGAAUAUGUUAGUAAGGACAGAUUUUCCAUAUCUUGGGGUUUAAAAUGUGUUCUAUGAAAGUUAAACUGACAAAUGUGUUAGAAUGAGAGUGACAGGAUGCUGGGCUGCCAGAUCAACUGUGCUUAUUAAAAAUGAUUUCAUGAAAAUAAAGAUAUGUGUAGAGAAAAAUAGACAUGCUUUCAUGAAGAGGUAAAAAGAAGUGUAGAGUAAGAUAAUCUUGCUUUUCACAUGUUGACUUUCUUUGAACAGCAGAAUCUAGGGAAACUGUCAAAGGAUGUGAAUUGAACAUUAUUAAUGUGCUAUAAUUUACAUACACAAAAAUUAUAAAUAAAGACACAAUACAUUUAAAGGAAGUGAAGUGAGGUCAAAAUACCUUUAGUUAUUGAUAAGAAAUGGAUUCUUAUUUUAAAUGGUCUACUGUGGAACAUAGUGACUAGAACAUAUUAAUGAAAAUUUUAAAGUAUUUUUUUCAUUUUACAAACCAAUCCUAUUUCCUCAUCCCUCCCCUUCUCCUGCUCCCCUACUUUCCCCCAUCCCAACACCAUCCUCUCCUUAGAGAGGGUAAGGCUUUCCUUGAGCAGUCAAAAAUUUUGGUACUAUUUUCUAUUAACACAUUUUGUGACAAAGAACAGUUUGGAAAAUAAGACUAUGACAGACUAAAUUUGCAAGAUAAUACGUAUAUUUUCCCUUUCUUUUAAUUAAGAGAUUUUUCUAUUCGUUUUACUUAUCAACCAUGGAUUCCCCUGUCCUCCCUCCCUCCUCCCACCCCCCCCCAUGGAAAUUGAUGAAGGCAUAUAUAUUUUAUUAUUCUGUCACUACAACAUGAUGUAUGAUCUGAGAAAUCUUAGAAACAUUGUAAUCUAUACCCUAUUUAAAAUGUAAACUUCAUUUAUACUUACAGUUUUAAGUUAUUUAUUUUUAAAAUCACACAUUGAUAUGGCACUCUGAAGGAAUACACUAUUAGUUAAAUAUAUCAGAAAGUUUAUAUCACAUGGUCUGUUUGAAUUUCAGGAAAUUUUAAUCUCCAUUUUAAUUUAUAAAUUAAUUUUCAUGGUGUGUAUAAUAUUUUGACAAUCAUUAGAUUAGCUAGUAAAGAUGACUGCCCAGCAUACUUCAUACAUCCCUCAUAAUCCUUCAUUAUUACAGUGACAAUGAAAUGCUUAUGAAAAAAUGUGUUAGGAGAGCAACCAGGCAGCCGAAGGGAAGGAACAUCCAAAGAUCUCAUUACAUUUCGUGUUAGGAUGCUUGCUUUGGGGCUCAUUGGAUACACACAUGGCCUCUACUCUCCCUUUAUUAUAUUCAUAAAGAGCUGCUGAACCUCCUAAAAUGUAGCUGAUGGAUUUGUAAAAGAUAUGACAGCUUGUUCAAACAGGUUUCUACCGAACCUUCUAAGAAAAAUUUCAUUCUGAAGCAUAGCUGGGAGGCAUUUAUGUUAGAAAUGUCUACUUUGUCACUGUAAAUUGAAUAUUUCACCUGUCAACAGACUAUCAAAAAGGGACCUGUUCUCUUUCACUUCUCACUCAAUACUACUUAGCACUGAAAAUAGGAAGGAUAAGAUUUUGAUACUCAUAUAAUUAGCAGCAUAUCUUUCUGGUGUUAAAACAUAUGCACAGAUACACACACACACACACACACACACACACACACACACACACACACGCAUGUAUAUAUAUAUAUACAUGCAUAUAUACAUGCACACACACACAAAGUACAAGUUAGAUAACAUUGCAAAUGUAUUUGUUUGCCUGAUUUGAAGCUAAUAUGUAGUUAAACAUAGUGCAGAAGGGGCAACCACCUUUAUGAACAAAAUUGAGUGGUUUUUAACUGUCUGGUGAUAAUCUAAGAAGAAUGAAAUCUUCACACUUUACAAAUGAAUAGAGGGUUCACUUAAAUCUUAUGGUAUUUGCCAUGGACUUAUAUAUAUUUAGCCUACAAUAUAUGACAGAAAAUUCACUAAAAUUAGAUUAUUAAAUUAGUUUUCAAGACAAAAAUCUAUUCUUUCUGUGAAAUAGAAUAGCAACAAGAACUUGGGCGUUGUUUUAAAACAUGCUAGUUUAAUUCAAACUCAGAACACUGGACAGGAUACAUAAGAAGAGAUUUGUACGAAUGAAAUAAUUUAUGUAUGUAUCAAUGAUAGAGAGUUCAGCAAUAGAAAAGAGAAAAGUUAGGCAGGAAAAGGACAAAGACAAAGACAGAAAGACUGGCAUGAUUUCUAAGCAGCCCAGUGAGGAAAAUACAGCAAAUUACUGUCUUCCUACAGUAUCAAACAGUAGGGUCAAUGUCUUCCUGUCUCCGUUUCAUCACCUCUUUUUCUUGAAUCAUAAUGAUACUCACAUUGAGAAGUGGCUGUUAGUGUAAGAGUGCAUUAGAGCCUUUUGACAAAUGAAAUAAAUCUAAAAUUUUAACCUAUACAGAACAUAAAUCCAGUUUUAAGGAGAAAAGAAGAGCAGGAAAUCUUAUAAAAAUAUAAAUCUCUUCUUUCAUCCCGUUUAGCAAAUGCAUCUGUGUGGCUAUAACCAUAUGUGAGGGUAAGUGGGAAAAGACUGGGUGUGUGCUUAUAAUAGAGUCUAACUUCAUUAAAGAUAAUAAUCACUGGACUUCUGAUUGUUAUGUUAAUUAAGUCACUUCAAAAUAGAUCUUUUUAUUGUGUUUCAGUUCACUUGUAUUUUAAUAAAAUCAUAACUUGAUAUGUUUAAAUGUAAUUUCGGUUUAAAGAACCAUGUUUUCUAUUAUGAAUGGAGUUCAAAUACCCACUAAAUUAAUGAUUUUCUAAUGUAAGAUAAGCUUUUUAUAAACAAAAGAUGCCCUGAGAAUAAAUAAGUACCAGUGAAUUCAUUCUUAGUAUCUUAUAUGAUCAAAAUCAGUAUAUAUGCAAAGGCUCACCUUGGUUUCUGCCAAACAAUUACUCACAAUUGAUGAAAAUAUGUAAUCAAUGUUUACAAGAAGACAUAAAACUCAAACAUUGAACUUCUCAAGUGGAAGGUAUAUUACAAAGCAAUGUUGAUGCUUCAUUUCAAAAUGCUUUGUAGUUAGAAACUCAGAUUGAUAGUAUAUGGUGGAAUUAAACCCUGAUACCAACCUCAAAACCAACCAGGAUAGACUCUCCAAAACACAGUGGAGGUUGGUGGCUGUAUUAUAAUUGUUCAUUGGUGAAUCCCAUCAAAAUAAGACAAGAAUGCUGAGAAAGAUUUUGUCGUCUUUUUUGUCUCCUGACAGACUUUCCAUAAAUAUGUUAUAAAUAUUAUAAAUCUAUUACAAAUGUCUAGUCUAUCUGGAAUUUAUGCACUCCUGAGAGAGAAUCAAAAUCAAGAUUUUGCUAUCAUUUUGGAAGUAAAGUUGAAGCCCAGUAAUGUAUUCUGUACUAAGCUAAAAUAAUUAGUUUCAUAAAUAUAUUUAGAAGACAGUAUUAGUAGCUUAGUAUUAGAGGAGUUCAUGUUUAAUUCAAAUCACUUAAUAAUAAAGAAUGAAGUACUGUGAAAUCUUCAGGAGGUAGGUACCAUCUUGGCAGAUUACCAUUCUCUCCUUAAUGCUUGGGUUACAGAUGUACAUCAUCACACUAUACUUUAGAUAUGUACCUUGCUGUAGCAGUUGGAGGAAAUGUAUUACUGUGGGGUGGGCUUUGAGGUUUCCAAUGCUCAGGAUACUGCCCAGUGAGACAGUUGACUUCUUGCUGAUUGCAACAUGUAGCCCUGUCAGCUCCAGCACCAUGUCUUGCUGUACACCACCAUGCUCCCUGUCGUGAUGAUAAUAGACUGAACCUCUGAAACUGUAAGAGAGCCCCUUCAAUAAAGUGUUUUCCUUAUAAGA
Molecule: long non-coding RNA, 9135 nt
Organism: Peromyscus californicus insignis
Lineage: Eukaryota; Metazoa; Chordata; Mammalia; Rodentia; Cricetidae
Exons: 9
Source: RefSeq, a predicted model, not a curated record